AUUUAUGUAGUUUAACGAAAAACAUUACAUUUUCACUGUAAAAAUAAAGGAAAUUUUCUUAAAUA
RNAcentral lists this transfer RNA (65 nucleotides) under Rugitermes sp. RNAcentral describes it as "tRNA-Glu". It matches the Rfam family "tRNA". Rfam says of the family: Transfer RNA (tRNA) molecules are approximately 80 nucleotides in length. Their secondary structure includes four short double-helical elements and three loops (D, anti-codon, and T loops). The record is from RNAcentral. Lineage: Eukaryota; Metazoa; Arthropoda; Insecta; Blattodea; Kalotermitidae.